RNAcentral lists this ribosomal RNA (376 nucleotides) under uncultured organism. RNAcentral describes it as "partial 16S ribosomal RNA". It matches the Rfam family "Bacterial small subunit ribosomal RNA", at positions 527 to 897 of the family's 1533-position model. The record is from RNAcentral.
GUAGGUGGCAAGCGUUGUCCGGGAAUUAUUGGGGCGUAAAGCGCGCGCAGGCGGUUCUUUAAGUCUGAUGUGAAAGCCCACGGGCUCAACCGUGGAGGGUCAUUGGAAACUGGAGAACUUGAGUACAGAAGAGGAAAGCGGAAUUCCACGUGUAGCGGUGAAAUGCGUAGAGAUGUGGAGGAACACCAGUGGCGAAGGCGGCUUUCUGGUCUGUAACUGACGCUGAGGCGCGGAAGCGUGGGGAGCAAACAGGAUUAGAUACCCUGGUAGUCCACGCCGUAAACGAUGAGUGCUAAGUGUUAGGGGGUUUCCGCCCCUUAGUGCUGCAGCUAACGCAUUAAGCACUCCGCCUGGGGAGUACGGCCGCAAAGGCUGA